GUUUUCGUAGUGUAGUGGUUAUCACGUUUGCCUCACACGCUAAAGGCCCCCGGUUCGAACCCGGGCGAAAACA
This 73-nucleotide transfer RNA is filed under the name Saccoglossus kowalevskii. Its description in RNAcentral is "tRNA-Val". It matches the Rfam family "tRNA". Rfam says of the family: Transfer RNA (tRNA) molecules are approximately 80 nucleotides in length. Their secondary structure includes four short double-helical elements and three loops (D, anti-codon, and T loops). The record is from RNAcentral. Lineage: Eukaryota; Metazoa; Hemichordata; Enteropneusta; Harrimaniidae.